This 2333-nucleotide long non-coding RNA is filed under the name Sus scrofa (pig). RNAcentral describes it as "lncRNA (ENSSSCG00035025121.1)". The record is from RNAcentral. Lineage: Eukaryota; Metazoa; Chordata; Mammalia; Artiodactyla; Suidae.
GGGUAUGCUUCUGAAGAUCUCUUCUGCUAGGAAUCAUUGGCUAAAUUUGUUGAAAUAGGGACAUUCUCCCAGAUUACACUUUUCUUUUUCACCUCUCAAGGGUGCUUUUCAAUAAAAAAGUGUCCCCUAAAGAUGUAAGCCUAUAAGCUUGGCAGGACUUUUCAUAAGCAACUUUAAUAUUUUUAUUUUCCCUUGAAGAAGGCUUGGAAAAUUCAUUUCCAUUGCUAAGCUGUUGGGAGGUACUUAGUGCCUGCAAUAAAAAUCAUGUAACAAAUGGCUCCUCUGUCGUGGUUAACGGGCUCUGAUAGCAGAGAUGGUGUGAUUGGUGACAAAGAGCCCAUGGCAAUUUUGAUUUUGCCAAAUAAAAAUAGACCAAAGAAAUGGAAUUCUGGAGGGUGCUGUUGAUGCCUGAAAGGAGCCAGGGGAAUGUUCAGGCUGUGCCAGUCUUUUCAUGUCACACAUGAGACUCUGAGAUUUCAAAAAAAUCUUUUGCCCAAGCUGGUGAGUGGCCAGAAGUAGACUUAGGGCUUCUUGCACACUUCCUUCUUCUUCUUCUUCUUUUUUUUUUUAUUAGAGUAUAGUUAAUUUACAGUGUUGUGCCAAUUUCUGCUGUAUAGCAUAGUGACCCAGUCAUAUACAUAUAUACAUUCUUUUUCUCAUACUGUCUUCCAUCGUGGCCCAUCCCAAGAGACUGGACAUAGUUCCCUGUGCUGUACAGUAGGACCCCAUUGUUUAUCCAUUCUAAAUGUAAUAGGGAAACAUCUUUCUUGGCCUCCAAACUGCUCUAAACAUUUUUGUUUCUGAAACCUGUUUAAUAUUUAAAACAAGUUCAGAUAUCUUUGUGGUGGUCCCAGUUCUCCUGAACUCUUCACCAGAAUUGCUUGCCCUCUGCGCCAUAGAUGGUCCGCAGGUGAGGAGAUCACCAUCACCUUACACCUCACCUGGAUCCUGGACCUAAGGGAGACCACCUGGCCUGGUACUUGCCCACCCACCAUUUUUGAGCAGUGGGAACAGUUUAAGGCUUGACUUAAACCAUAGCAUAUGAGCAAAUGUUAAAAAUUGAAAUCUGGGCUUUCAGCCAUGCAGAAUGGGGUGGGAGUUAUUAUUUUCUGCCAAUGAAUAUAAUGAAUAAAAUGAACAUCCACUAUUUUUUUUUUUUUUGGAUGGGGAGAAUGAGGCAGGAAAAUGUCUUACCAGGAAGCCCCUGCCUGAACUCUCCAAGUGUUUGUGUUGUCCUUGGCACUGCUGCAGUAUUGUCACUUUAGGGCACAAAGACCUGAUUAAAGAAAACCCCGCCGGAGUAAGCCCUGGUCCAUUAGUUUGUGUUCAUUUGCAUGUCCCUUGCUUUCUCAGAACAUGUACUUGACCUGGGAGCAUCUCUGUUACCAUGGAAUCCUGUUUCUUUAGCUGUUAGGCACCAACAUUUGAAUAGUUUCCCUUUCAAGGCAGAAAGUCUUUGUGCCCUACAAGCAUCUCUCUACAAAGCACUAGAACCGUGCAUUAUUGCUGCAUAAUUAUCCAACUGGUAGUAACGCUAGGGGUCUGUCCUGGAUGCAUUAUAUGGUAUAUUAUCAAGAGCAAGAGUUUUACUCUUUCGGCCUUGGAAGGGAUUUUCGAAAGCACGAGAGUAAACCGUUGCUCCAAGUAGUUAAACGUUUGCCCAGUCUCAUGCUGCGCAGUGGUGGCACAAUGGUGACUGAUGUUCCAGGCUGGACCUCCUAUUGAUCUUUAUCUUGUUAUUAAAUAAUUUUAACUUUUUUUGAUAGGAGAAAAGUCUUGAUCAAUUUGCAAAAGAAAUUAGGAUUUUUCCAAACAAAUUCAUUUUGUGCUUAUUCAUUGUUUCUUUGGACUUGGAGGUGGUGUUAUGUUUUUGUGUAUGUGUGUUUGUGUGCAUGUGUAGGAAGGCAGUCCUUCUGACCUCUGUACCUAUUGUAGGCUGGCACUGGGAGAAGCUUGAAUCAUUUAUAUAGAAAACCCUAAGGACUCAACCCAAAAACUACUUGAAUUGAUUAAUAAAUUCAGCAAAGUAGCAGGAUAUAAGAUUAACAUUCAAAAAUCAGUCACAUUUUGGAGUUCCCGUCGUGGCUCAGUGGUUAACUAAUCCAACUAGGAACCAUGAGGUUGCAGGUUCAAUCCCUGGCCUUGCUCAGUGGGUUAAGGAUCCAGCGUUGCUGUGAGCUGUGGUGUAGGUCGCAGAUGCGGCUUGGAUUCUACGUUGCUGUGGCUGUGGCAUAGGCCGGCGGAUACACCUCUGAUUCGACCCCUGGCCUGGAAACCUCUAUAUGCUGAGGGAGUGGCCCAAGAAAAGGCAAAAAGACAAAAAAAAAAAAAAA